This is a non-coding RNA of Merluccius polli (Benguela hake), 91 nucleotides long. The record is from the annotation of a GenBank genome assembly. NCBI's taxonomy places the organism in Eukaryota, Metazoa, Chordata, Actinopteri, Gadiformes, Merlucciidae.
GUUGUUGUGGCCGAGUGGUUAAGGCUGGACAGAAUUGUGACAUGCUAAAUGUUGGGCUCUUCCUGCGCAGGUUCAAAUCCUGCCGACGACU